Molecule: long non-coding RNA, 215 nt
Filed under: Elaeis guineensis (African oil palm)
Lineage: Eukaryota; Viridiplantae; Streptophyta; Magnoliopsida; Arecales; Arecaceae
Description: long non-coding RNA (EGUI_LNC017429)
Source: RNAcentral
AUGUGUCAGGGUAGUGCAGGAUUACUCUCAGGGGUUGGUUGGUGAGGACCACGAUAGCGUGUGCCUGAAAGUAUGGACGGAGCCACUGCGCCGAAAUGACCAGAGCAAAUAUCAUUUUUUUUGCCUUCGAGUAUCGGGUCUCGACUUCGUGAAGCACUUUGCUGAUGUAAUAUAUCGGUUGGUGAACUCGGUUUUCGUUCUCUCGGACGAGCACC